UCUACGGGUGGCAGCAGUGAGGAAUAUUGGUCAAUGGACGAGAGUCUGAACCAGCCAAGUAACGUGAAGGAUGACUGCCCUAUGGGUUGUAAACUUCUUGUAUAUGGGAAUAAAAUGUUCCACGUGUGGGAUUGUGUAUGUACCAUAUGAAUAAGGAUCGGCUAACUCCGUGCCAGCAGCCGCGGCAAUACGGAGGAUCCGAGCGGUAGCCGGAUUUAUUGGGUUGAAAGGGAGCGUAGGUGGAUUGGUAAGGCAGUUGUGAAAGUUUGCGGCUCAACCAUAAAAUUGCAGUUGAGACUGGCAGGUUUGAGUACAGUAGAGUUGGGCGGAAUUCUGGUUUUCGCGGUGAAUGCU
RNAcentral lists this ribosomal RNA (354 nucleotides) under uncultured bacterium. RNAcentral's name for it is "partial 16S ribosomal RNA". It matches the Rfam family "Bacterial small subunit ribosomal RNA", at positions 338 to 690 of the family's 1533-position model. The record is from RNAcentral.